GACAGAGGUGCCGAGCGUUAGGCGGAAUCACUGGGCUUAAAGCGUGUGUAGGUGGAUGCCUAAGUACCUUGUGAAAUCCCACGGCUUAACCGUGGAACUGCUUGGUAUACUGGGUGUCUUGAGCCAGCUAGGGGCUACCGGAACAAAUGGUGGAGCGGUGAAAUGCGUAGAUAUCAUUUGGAACGCCAAUGGUGAAAACAGGUAGCUGGGGCUGUGCUGACAC
RNAcentral lists this ribosomal RNA (223 nucleotides) under uncultured bacterium. Its description in RNAcentral is "partial 16S ribosomal RNA". It matches the Rfam family "Bacterial small subunit ribosomal RNA", at positions 524 to 746 of the family's 1533-position model. The record is from RNAcentral.